RNAcentral lists this transfer RNA (66 nucleotides) under Cyclopelta parva. Its description in RNAcentral is "tRNA-Trp". Lineage: Eukaryota; Metazoa; Arthropoda; Insecta; Hemiptera; Dinidoridae. The record is from RNAcentral.
AAAGCUUUAAGUUAAAAUAAAACUGUUAACCUUCAAAGUUAGAAAUAGUUACAUAACUAAGCUUUA